Molecule: ribosomal RNA, 492 nt
Filed under: uncultured bacterium
Lineage: Bacteria
Description: partial 16S ribosomal RNA
Rfam family: Bacterial small subunit ribosomal RNA
Source: RNAcentral
AGUGAACGCUGGCGGUAGGCCUAACACAUGCAAGUCGAACGGCAGCACAGUAAGAGCUUGCUCUUCCGGUUGGCGAGUGGCGGACGGGUUAGGAAUACAUCGGAAUCUACUUUUUCGUGGGGGAUAACGUAGGGAAACUUACGCUAAUACCGCAUACGACCUACGGGUUAAAGCAGGGGAUCUUCGGACCUUGCGCGCUUGAAUGAGCCGAUGUCGGAUUAGCUAGUUGGCGGGGUAAAGGCCCACCAAGGCGACGAUCCGUAGCUGGUCUGAGAGGAUGAUAGGAUACACAGGAACAGAGACACGGUCAAGAGGCCUAGAGGAGGAAGCGGGGGGGAAGAGGGGAAAAUGGGGGAAAGCGCGAUAGAGUCACACCGCGUGGGUGAGGGAGGGAUGCGGGUUGUAGAGCUGUAAUGUUGGGUAAGAAGAGCAGAAGGCUAAGAACCGGCUGGGUUGACGGUACCGAGAGAAUAAGCACCGGCUAACUCCGUG